Molecule: long non-coding RNA, 2308 nt
Organism: Homo sapiens (human)
Lineage: Eukaryota; Metazoa; Chordata; Mammalia; Primates; Hominidae
Exons: 2
Source: RefSeq, a predicted model, not a curated record
GGUGGGGGCCAGUCCUUGCUCCGAGAGCUUCCAAGAUGGCGGCGGGCCGCUUCCAAAAUGGGAUGGUGGCAAGCCUCUUGUUCUCUGACCUGGGGUUCUUGGCCUCGCAGAUUCCAAGGAAUGAAAUCUUGGGCCAUGCGCUCCCCAAAUACUGGCAGCUGAAAAAAAUGAGUGAAUGAAGAAGGAGGAAGCCAGGGGAGACAAAGAAACAGGAUACACAACACAGGGGAAAGAUGAAAAGGACUCCCCAGGAUGGUGGUGAAGAGAGUUGCUAGGAUGACAACUGUGCAUCAAGCUUAAAACCCAGAUUGGAGCGUGUGAACCAAGAGAUAUAUAUGGCAUCAUCUUUUUGAACUAAAAAUGGCUGCGUGAACCUGGCCCAGUGUUUAUCUGUACUUGGCUUUCCUGGGUCACAUGUAGAUGAAGUACCGAUCUCUUCUCCUUCUUGGGUCAGCUGAGGACAGUCAUUCCCUCCAUAGGGAUGUUCUGCUCGGACCUGUUCCUGAGAGCUGGAGGUUGGUCAAGGUAAGAAUAGAAGUAGGAAAUAUGAGGAAGAUUCCUGCCUGUUGUCUAGCACCUGGCCUAUACUGUCCUCUGCCAAAUGUCCCAGUUGUGGUGAGCCCAGUGUUUCUCAGAACUCGCUCAUUCCCUGGUCCACCGACUCCUCCAGAAGGUUUUGGUAAACUGUCAGUCAAGAUAAAGUCAGACGAUGAGCCAGAAUCAUAGUCUUUUUCUGUAAAUUCCUCUUUUCCACUUAACAUUAUUUUAAUGAAAUUUAUCCAUGUUUAUAUAUUUAGGUCCAGUUCAUUGAUUUUCUCAGCCAUAUAGUAUUCUAUUGUUUGACUACACUGCAACUUACAAAUCUUCCUUUUGUUGGUUGUACUUUUAGGUUGCUUUUUUUUUUACGUUAUGAGCAGGCAAGGCUUUUAGGAAUAUCUUUCCACAUAUCUCCCCGUGAACAUGUAAUAUUCUCUCUGGUAUUUACUUAGAGGGGUACUGCUGGAUUAUAACAUUUGUUCCUAACAAUGAAUAUUUCCAAAUUUUCCUAAGUACCUUUUACCAAUUUUUACUCCCACCAGCAAUGUAUAAAAGCUUCUGGUGCUCUGCAUUCUCACGAAUACCUGGUCUUGCCAGACUUUAAUUGAAGUUUGCUAGUUAAAUGUGUGUAAAAUGUUUCCUCAUUGUUAUUUUCAUUUAUAUGUGACCAAUGAGAUUGAACUUUUUUUAAUGUCUAUUAGCCAUUAUAUGUCGUAUUAUAUGACUUGCCUAUUCAUAUUUUUGGUACACUUUUCUAUUUUGUUAUUCAAUGUUUUUCUCUAGAUUUGAGAAAGUUAUAUAUUAUAUAUUCAAAAUUUAUAUAUUUUGAAUUAUAAUCCUUUAUUGGUUAUAGUGUUGCAGAUAUCUUGUCCCAGAGUAUUGCCGUCUCCUUGAUUUUUAUUAUAGUGUCUUAUUUUGGGUAAACUUUUAAAAAAUUAAAAUAUAAUAGACAUAAAUGGGGGUAGAAAUCUUAAGGGUAUAGUUCUAUAAAUGUUUACAAAUGAAUCUACCUAUGUAAAAAUAUUAUGUGCCUUUUGAUGAUUUGUUUUGUUUUGUUUUGUUUUGUUUUGAGAUUGAGUCUUGCUAUUUUGCCCAGGCUGGACUUCAACUCCUGGGCUCAAGUGAUCCUCUUGCUUCAGUCCCAAGUAGUUGGGAUUACAGGUGUGCACCACCAUGCUCAGCUCUUUUGAUGCAUUUUUAACAAUGUAGUUGAAUGAAAGAAACUUUCCAUUUAUGGUUUGUGAGUUUGUGUUUUGUUUAAGAAAUUCUCCUUUAUCCUAAUGUCAUAGACAUGUUCUCUUACUUCUAAACACUUUAAAUAGUUUUGGUUUUAUUUCACUUCAUGGAUAUGGAAUGGGUAUAUGUGUGUGUGUGCAUGUGCACAUGUGCAUACAAUUUGAAGUAGUGAUCCAGUUUUUUAAUACGGAUUUUAUUCAAGUGCUAUUUAUUGGCCAUCAUUACCCUCUGAUCUACAAAUCACCACUUUCAUGCAUCAAGAUUCCAUAUGUGUGUGGGUCUAAUUUCUGGCCACUCUAUUGUGUUCCAUGGAUCUCCUUGUCUGGCUUUGUGCUGUGAGGGAGAAAAAGAUAUUCCAGGAAUAUCGGCCCAAUAAGCUGAUUUUUUUUUGUUCUUGAGAACUGAACUAGAUUAUCAUUUUUUUUUUCCUUUUAAAGUCUUCUCAGAUCUUGUCAAAGAUUCCAGGAAUAUCUUUUUCUCACCUAUCAAAAAGUUCAUUGUUGUGACACCUAUAAUAAAAAACAGAUUAACAAGA